AUUGAACGCUGGCGGCAUGCCUUACACAUGCAAGUCGAACGGCAGCACGGGAGCAAUCCUGGUGGCGAGUGGCGAACGGGUGAGUAAUACAUCGGAACGUGCCCAGUCGUGGGGGAUAACGCAGCGAAAGCUGCGCUAAUACCGCAUACGAUCUAUGGAUGAAAGCGGGGGGACCGUAAGGCCUCGCGCGAUUGGAGCGGCCGAUGUCAGAUUAGGUAGUUGGUGGGGUAAAAGGGCUCACCAAGCCAACGAUCUGUAGCUGGUCUGAGAGGACGACCAGCCACACUGGGACUGAGACACGGCCCAGACUCCUACGGGAGGCAGCAGUGGGGAAUUUUGGACAAUGGGCGCAAGCCUGAUCCAGCAAUGCCGCGUGCAGGAAGAAGGCCU
This 390-nucleotide ribosomal RNA is filed under the name uncultured bacterium. RNAcentral's name for it is "bacterial SSU rRNA". It matches the Rfam family "Bacterial small subunit ribosomal RNA", at positions 29 to 417 of the family's 1533-position model. The record is from RNAcentral.